GAUGAACGCUAGCGGGAGGCCUAACACAUGCAAGCUGAGCGGUAGAGUUUCUUCGGAGACUUGAGAGCGGCGUACGGGUGCGGAACACGUGUGCAACCUGCCUUUAUCAGGGGGAUAGCCUUUCGAAAGGAAGAUUAAUACCCCAUAAUAUAUAGAGUGGCAUCACUUUAUAUUGAAAACUGAGGUGGAUAAAGAUGGGCACGCGCAAGAUUAGAUAGUUGGUGAGGUAACGGCUCACCAAGUCGAUGAUCUUUAGGGGGCCUGAGAGGGUGAUCCCCCACACUGGUACUGAGACACGGACCAGACUCCUACGGGAGGCAGCAGUGAGGAAUAUUGGACAAUGGGUUAGCGCCUGAUCCAGCCAUCCCGCGUGAAGGACGACGGCCCUAUGGGUUGUAAACUUCUUUUGUACAGGGAUAAACCUAUUUACGUGUAAAUAGCUGAAGGUACUGUACGAAUAAGCACCGGCUAACUCCGUGCCAGCAGCCGCCGUAAUAC
RNAcentral lists this ribosomal RNA (498 nucleotides) under uncultured bacterium. RNAcentral describes it as "bacterial SSU rRNA". It matches the Rfam family "Bacterial small subunit ribosomal RNA", at positions 28 to 526 of the family's 1533-position model. The record is from RNAcentral.